RNAcentral lists this ribosomal RNA (3012 nucleotides) under Triticum aestivum (bread wheat). RNAcentral describes it as "partial small subunit ribosomal RNA". Lineage: Eukaryota; Viridiplantae; Streptophyta; Magnoliopsida; Poales; Poaceae. The record is from RNAcentral.
AUGGCAUUGUUGGACUGGAUUGAGUUGUCUGAUGACGAGGAGGUGACAGUCAAAGAAAAACUUCCUCCAGAAAAAGUCAAAGAAGAAUUUCCUCCAACAAAUGUCAAAGAAGAAUUUCCUCCGACAAGAGUGAAAGAAGAACUGGAUACUCAUAUACAUGGGACAGCGCAGUUGGAAGUAGAAAUUGUUGAUUUAACCAUAGAAGAAGCUGACGUUGAAGAGGAUAGGAAUGCUCACGGGAAAGGGGAUGCUGCUCAGGGGGCAACAACAUCACAUAGACAACAGUUUCUUGCACCUCAUGGACAAGGCGAGGCAGCUCAGACAGUGGUACCAAGACAAGAGUUUCUUGCUGCUGCUAAUGGUGUGGAAGAGUUUCUUGUAAUAGGUGAUGUUGCACAAGAGGCUAUGCAGUCUGGAAAUCAGGAUUUUGCUGCAGCAGUUGAUUGCGCAGAAGAGGCCACGCAUUCUGAAAAUGCAGAUGAAGCUGGCCCAUCAUUGUUUACAGAACAAGGUGCCGCGGCGGGUGAUUGCGGUGAAGAGGCUAUGCAGCCUGGAAAUCAGGAUUUUGCUGCAGCAGUUGAUUGUGCAGAAGAGGCCAUGCAGUCUGAAAAUGCAGCUGAAGCUGGUCCAUCGUCGUUUACAGAGCAAGGUGUUGCAGCAGGCGACUGCAGUGAAGAAGCUUUGCAGCCCGGAAAUCAGGAUUUUUCUGCUGCAGUUGAUUACGCAGAAGAGGCCAUGCAGUCCGAGAAUGCAGCUGAAGCUGGGCCAUUAUCGUCUACUGGACAAGGUGUUGUAGCAGGCGAUUGCAGUGAAGAGGCUAUGCAGUCUGGAAAGCAGGAUUUUGUCGCAGCAGUUGAUUGCGCAGAAGAGGCUAUGCAGUCUGGAAAUGCAGUCGAAGGUGCCCCAUCAUCGUUUACAGAAGGUGUAGCAGCAGGUGAUUUUGCUGAAGAGGCUAUGCAGUAUAACCAUGAAGACAAAGCUGCUGAAUGCUCGUCAAUGACACGACAAGCUGCUUCAUCAUCCUUGUCAAUGACAGAACAAGGUGCUACUACAUCCUCACUAAGGACAGCGCAACAGAGUCACAAGAGAGAUGCAUUGAUAGAUUCCCCUCCCAUCGCAACUGUGGCGCCUUUUCCCCGGCAAUUCUGGAAGGCUGGGGAGUACAAGGUUGCUUCCCGAGCUUCCAUCAACAAUGGCCAGAACUGCUUAAGGAUUAAUCCCAAGUUUCUUCACUCGAAUGCUACGUCACACAAGUGGGUAUUUGGUGCUAUUGCAGAACUGCUCGACAACGCUGUUGAUGAGGUGCAGAACGGGGCAACCUAUGUGAAAAUAGAUAAAAUGAAAUAUUCUCCUGUUGGAGAGUAUUCGUUAAUGAUACAAGAUGAUGGAGGCGGUAUGAGUCCUGAGUAUCUUCGACAUUGUUUGAGCUUCGGAUUCUCCAAUAAAUGCACGGAUUCAUCAAUUGGACAAUAUGGAAAUGGCUUCAAAACCAGCACAAUGAGGCUUGGGGCAGAUGCUAUCAUAUUCAGCUGCAGAAAAGCUAAUAGAUUGACACGAAGUGUUGGGCUGCUCUCUUACACAUUCCUCAAAGGAACCGGCUGCGAUGACAUAUUAGUGCCAGUGGUUGACUAUGAAUUUGAUCCUUCAUCCCGCAAUUUCAAGAGGAUAAUGGACCGUGGUGAAAAACAUUUUUCUUCCAAUUUGUCCACUCUUUUGAGGUGGUCUAAAUUUUCUACAGAAGAUGAUUUAUUGAAUCAAUUUGAGGACAUGGGAUGCCAUGGCACAAAAAUUGUUGUAUUCAACUUGUGGCUCAAUGAUGUGGAUGAAAUGGAGCUUGACUUUACAACUGAUGAUGAGGAUAUUAUGAUGUCAGGAGCGCCUAAGAUACCAGAAGAACGCGCGAAAGUGAAAAGGUUGAAUCAUAUGCAUAUUGCAAAUCGCUUUCGAUAUUCACUUCGUGUUUAUGCAUCUAUACUAUACCUUCGUCUACCACAACACUUUAAAGUCAUCUUGUGUGGACGAACUGUUGAACCUCAUCAUAUUAUAAAGGACCUCAUAUACCGUGAAUGUAUCAAAUAUCGACCACAAGUUGGAACAAGCGUACAGGUUGAUGUCAUUACUUCAAUUGGCUUCUUAAAAGGAGCUCCACACCUGGAUAUCUAUGGAUUUAAUGUCUACCAUAGGAACCGUCUUAUUCUGCCAUUUUGGGCUGCAGGCUCUGAGAGAGGUCGAGGCAGAGGCAUUGCUGGGGUUUUGGAGGCGAACUUCAUACGACCUACACAUGAUAAGCAAGAUUUUGAGAAGACGGAACUUUUUCAGAGACUUGAGACGAGAUUAAAAGACAUGACAAUGGAGUAUUGGAGGCACCAUGCUCAUUUGAUUGGCUACCAGCCAGUCACAAAAUCUCUUCCUCCAGCAUAUUAUACAUCUAUUGCUGCUACCAAUGACAGCUCAGUAGCCCAAGCUACAGCAACAACUUAUGCCAGGAACUCAAGAGCCAAGGCAUCUGGAGUGUUGAACUCCCGUUUCAAUGGAGGUAACUCAUUAAAUCCUUUGCACGUUGGUGCCUUGAGGGAUCAAAUGGACUAUGGUGCAUGUUCUUUAGCAAGGAGAAAUAUGAGGACUUCAUUAUAUAUGCCAAGCACACCCCAGCAAACUGAACUCUGCAAAAGAAGAAACUCUGGCUCGAUGAUUGAAAUGAGGGCCCAAAAAAGGCACAACACGAAUGGCGAUGCUGACCACGUUGGAAGCGUCAAUGUUGUUGAGAUAGGAGAGGAAAGGAGCAGUCUCUUACUUUGUCAGAACAUGAUGCUAAAGGCCGAGUGUUCUGAGCUGGAGGCGGCCGGGCAGACUCUCCGAAGCAAGGCGGACAGGUUGAUGGGUGAACUCCGCGAGUGGCAACGGAAGCGGAGGAGCCUGACGGACGAGUUGGAGUUCUACAACGGCCUCAGCGCGAUACAGCGCAGGAUCCCCAUCGCCAGCACCUCCUCCAUGGGAGUGGGAUGGAUCUGA